GGGACACGUGGUAUCCUGUCUGAAUAUGGGGGGACCAUCCUCCAAGGCUAAAUACUCCUGACUGACCGAUAGUGAACCAGUACCGUGAGGGAAAGGCGAAAAGAACCCCGGCGAGGGGAGUGAAAAAGAACCUGAAACCGUGUACGUACAAGCAGUGGGAGCACAGGUUUACCUGUGUGACUGCGUACCUUUUGUAUAAUGGGUCAGCGACUUAUAUUCUGUAGCAAGGUUAACCGUAUAGGGGAGCCGGAGGGAAACCGAGUCUUAAUUGGGCGUUAAGUUGCAGGGUAUAGACCCGAAACCCGGUGAUCUAGCCAUGGGCAGGUUGAAGGUUGGGUAACACUAACUGGAGGACCGAACCGACUAAUGUUGAAAAAUUAGCGGAUGACCUGUGGCUGGGGGUGAAAGGCCAAUCAAACCGGGAGAUAGCUGGUUCUCCCCGAAAGCUAUUUAGGUAGCGCCUCGUGAAUUCAUCUCCGGGGGUAGAGCACUGUUUCGGCUAGGGGGCCAUCCCGGCUUACCAACCCGAUGCAAACUGCGAAUACCGGAGAAUGUUAUCACGGGAGACACACGGCGGGUGCUAACGUCCGUCGUGAAGAGGGAAACAACCCAGACCGCCAGCUAAGGUCCCAAAGUCAUGGUUAAGUGGGAAACGAUGUGGGAAGGCCCAGACAGCCAGGAUGUUGGCUUAGAAGCAGCCAUCAUUUAAAGAAAGCGUAAUAGCUCACUGGUCGAGUCGGCCUGCGCGGAAGAUGUAACGGGGCUAAACCAUGCACCGAAGCUGCGGCAGCGACACUGUGUGUUGUUGGGUAGGGGAGCGUUCUGUAAGCCUGUGAAGGUGUGUCGUGAGGC
This 852-nucleotide ribosomal RNA is filed under the name Salmonella enterica subsp. enterica. Its description in RNAcentral is "partial 23S ribosomal RNA". It matches the Rfam family "Bacterial large subunit ribosomal RNA", at positions 419 to 1269 of the family's 2925-position model. Lineage: Bacteria; Pseudomonadati; Pseudomonadota; Gammaproteobacteria; Enterobacterales; Enterobacteriaceae. The record is from RNAcentral.